This 521-nucleotide ribosomal RNA is filed under the name uncultured Glomus. Its description in RNAcentral is "eukaryotic LSU rRNA". The stretch from base 138 to 291 matches the Rfam family "5.8S ribosomal RNA". The record is from RNAcentral. Lineage: Eukaryota; Fungi; Glomeromycota; Glomeromycetes; Glomerales; Glomeraceae.
UUUCCGUAGGUGAACCUGCGGAAGGAUCAUUACUGAUUUGGCGGACCGAGCGUCAGCGAGGUUCCGCGAUCACCUGUAUUUAAAACCCACACUUUUGAAUUAUAUGUAUAUUUUUGUAUUUUUGAUAAAAAAAAGAUCACUUUCAACAACGGAUCUCUUGGCUCUCGCAUCGAUGAAGAACGUAGCGAAGUGCGAUAAGUAAUGUGAAUUGCAGAAUUCCGUGAAUCAUCGAAUCUUUGAACGCAAAUCGCACUCUCUGGUAUUCCGGAGAGUAUGCCUGUUUGAGGGUCAGUUAAAUAAAAAUCGAUGUUGUUGCCAUCUUGCGUGGUGACGCAUCAGAUGUGGGUCGUCUUACCUUCGGUUAAGUGACCUAAAAUUUUGCAUGAUUUUUUCGAACGUAUUUAAAUUAUUUACGUGCGUUUGUGAUAAUCGAACAUUAGACGUGAUCAUUCUCAUGAUUCGCGCCUAUGAUUUCUCAUCAAAAUGACCUCAAAUCAGGUAAGAGUACCCGCUGAACUUAA